RNAcentral lists this ribosomal RNA (497 nucleotides) under uncultured bacterium. Its description in RNAcentral is "partial 16S ribosomal RNA". It matches the Rfam family "Bacterial small subunit ribosomal RNA", at positions 28 to 507 of the family's 1533-position model. The record is from RNAcentral.
GAUGAACGCUGGCGGCGUGCCUAAUACAUGCAAGUCGAGCGAACAGACGAGGAGCUUGCUCCUCUGACGUUAGCGGCUGACGUGUGAGUAACACGUGGAUAACCUACCUAUAAUACUGGGAUAACUUCGGGAAACCGGAGCUAAUACCGGAUAAUAUAUUGAACCGCAUGGUUCAAUAGUGAAAGACGGUUUUGCUGUCACUUAUAGAUGGAUCCGCGCCGCAUUAGCUAGUUGGUAAGGUAACGGCUUACCAAGGCAACGAUGCGUAGCCGACAUGAGAGGGUGAUCGGCCACACUGGAACUGAGACACGGUCCAGACUCCUACGGGAGGCAGCAGUAGGGAAUCUUCCGCAAUGGGCGAAAGCUUGACGGAGCAACGCCGCGUGAGUGAUGAAGGUCUUCGGAUCGUAAAACUCUGUUAUUAGGGAAGAACAAAUGUGUAAGUAACUAUGCACGUCUUGACGGUACCUAAUCAGAAAGCCACGGCUAACUACGUG